CGAACGGACGAUGAAGAGCUUGCUUUUCAGAGUUAGUGGCGGACGGGUGAGUAACGCGUGGGUAACCUGCCUCAUACAGGGGGAUAGCAGCUGGAAACGGCUGAUAAAACCGCAUAAGCGCACAGCAUCGCAUGAUGCAGUGUGAAAAACUCCGGUGGUAUGAGAUGGACCCGCGUCUGAUUAGCUUGUUGGUGAGGUAACGGCCCACCAAGGCGACGAUCAGUAGCCGGCCUGAGAGGGUGACCGGCCACAUUGGGACUGAGACACGGCCCAAACUCCUACGGGAGGCAGCAGUGGGGAAUAUUGCACAAUGGGGGAAACCCUGAUGCAGCGACGCCGCGUGAAGGAAGAAGUAUCUCGGUAUGUAAACUUCUAUCAGCAGGGAAGAUAAUGACGGUACCUGACUAAGAAGCCCCGGCUAACUACGUGCCAGCAGCCGCGGUAAUACGUAGGGGGCAAGCGUUAUCCGGAUUUACUGGGUGUAAAGGGAGCGUAGGCGGCGGAGCAAGUCAGAAGUGAAAGCCCGGGGCUCAACCCCGGGACGGCUUUUGAAACUGCCCUGCUUGAUUUCAGGAGAGGUAAGCGGAAUUCCUAGUGUAGCGGUGAAAUGCGUAGAUAUUAGGAGGAACACCAGUGGCGAAGGCGGCUUACUGGACUGACAAUGACGCUGAGGCUCGAAAGCGUGGGGAGCAAACAGG
RNAcentral lists this ribosomal RNA (698 nucleotides) under uncultured Lachnospiraceae bacterium. RNAcentral describes it as "bacterial SSU rRNA". It matches the Rfam family "Bacterial small subunit ribosomal RNA", at positions 63 to 776 of the family's 1533-position model. The record is from RNAcentral. Lineage: Bacteria; Bacillati; Bacillota; Clostridia; Lachnospirales; Lachnospiraceae.